This 4019-nucleotide long non-coding RNA is filed under the name Setaria viridis. RNAcentral's name for it is "long non-coding RNA (SVIR_LNC006087)". The record is from RNAcentral. Lineage: Eukaryota; Viridiplantae; Streptophyta; Magnoliopsida; Poales; Poaceae.
AGGAAGAAUGGAAACGGCGGCGGCGACCGUAGCCCGGCCACCGGAGUGCGGCUCCACCGGCGGACUGCUCAGUGGUAACGUCAGUUUCCCAACCACUCUUAUCCUCUGUUCUGCUGCUCAAGCAACACGCUGCACACCAUGGUUCUCCGUGUUAGAGCAUCACAGUCACUGCAUACAAGGACCAACAUGCCAUAGUAUAGUAGUUUAAACUGAUAAACUGAAUGCGCACUAGAUUGUGACUGGUUUGGUUAGAGUUUUUUUUAAAAAAAAAAAUCGGCAUCUUGAACAAGUCAUCUCUAGUCUGCUUAAACAAACUGUCCAUACUUGUAACUAAACUGCACUGCUGAAAGUCUAGGGACGACUUCUGAGGGAUAUUGCAGUUUUAUUCUAGCAAGACCCGGCCACAAAUUCAUCAGAUAAUAUCUUUGGAAUUUGACUGAUUGUGUGCACAAGCACAAGCCUUUUGACCAGGACUUGGCAAGAGAAAGAAAUUCAGUCUCGUCCUGCAGUUGGUAACCGAAGUAUGUAAGCUAAGACUACAUUCGCUAGAACUCGAGAAACACAGACUAAAACAAGAAUCAACCCUCCAACAUUUAGCAUCUUCUCAGCAUGGAAAUGUUUUGGAAAGAGGGUUGCGCUGAUCCCCCAACUUUGGCACGGGAAAUCAACACCUGGCACUUCAAAACCAAGUCCACUUUUGAACCGGGCAAACCUUUUGAAAAGGCCCUGUUGGCGCAAAUUCGGGGUCAACAUACGAAAGCACCAGAGCGUGCAGGUUGCGAACAGACCGAACAGUAGUGAUGCUGCUCAGACCGGUCAAAAACCAGUCUACAACCCGGUUGGACCAGUUUCCUAGAAUUUUGCCUAGAUCGAUCAUUUGAAGGGAUAACUACCAUACUUACAUGAUGGAAGAUAGCUAGGUUUACGAGCAAACCAGCAAAGGGAUAACCAACGUACUUACAUGGUGAAGAACGACUAGUUUAUGAGCAAACUAGCAAAGGUUGUCAAUGCUCUCGCUCCGGAGGGACCCCGUCAGGGUGUGGACGUCGCUGGCGUGCUCUAGGUCAACCAGCAAGCCUAGGACGCAAUCUUUGGUCGUGGAGAUCAGUAGACGAAUAGCAUGGAAGUUGGAAAAAGAAUUUAGGAGAUAAAAAGUAAAUACAUAGUAGAUUGAUUCGAUUGGGUUGUCUUCAAUCAGUUGUGGCCCUUUAGAUUUAUAUAGGGUGGGGAGGUCUUGCCCCAGUAGGUGUCGAAUGUUAUACAAAUCCCGUAUCAAAAUACAACUCCUAACUCGAAUUAGGCUGGUCAAACUGGUCGGACCGCCCAUUUAAACCAGUCUAACCGGUUAGCACGGGGUUAAAUCUUACCAAAGCCAUAACUCAUUCAUCCGGACUCCAAACUGGACGUUCUACAUAUGCAUUUUGAUUGUCUCGACGAGAUCUACGCAAUGGUGAAGUCCAAUCAGAGAUUUGACAAUGUUAGUAGAACCGGUCUGACUGGUUUGUAGAUCGGCUUGCCCAGAUUCAGACAACAAACUCCUAUGAUGCCAAUUUUAGUCUCGAACGGGUCCAUAGAAAACUUUCUGGGUCAUACUCCUGCAUAUGAAACCAAACGCUUUUCCACGAGUAGUCAAGCAGUGCUACCACUUCAAUGUUUCUCUUGGCAUUUUUCAUGGCCCAUAAAAAACUUUCUGGAUCAUGGUGGGCAAGUUCUGCUCCUGCAUAUGAAACCAAACGUUUUUCCACGAGUAGUCAAGCAGUGCUACCACUUCAAUGUUUCUCUUGGCAUUUUUCAUAGCCCAUAAAAAACUUUCUGGAUCAUGGUGGGCAAGUUCUGCUUCUGCAUAUGAAACCAAACGCUUUUCCACGAGUAGUCAAGCAGUGCUACCACUUCAAUGUUUCUCUUGGCAUUUUUUCAUGCACCCACCACCGCUGACCACGCUAGCAUUUCUCAAGAGUCACAGCGUACAGCUGCACAUCGAACUGCACCUGACGUGUCUCCUCCUACGCAGGCAGGAGGAGGUCGCUGCUGCCCCACCGGCGAUCUGGUGCCGUGAGCUUUUCCACAGCCUCGCUGAAGCGACCUCCGAGAAUUCAACACCACGGAUCCCAGGUCCAAGUCUUGCCAUGGAGUAACUUCGUCUCUACGGAGAAAGUGAAAAGUAUUUUACUACGCCUGCCUGAAAGUAACCGCGCGAGCUCAUCAUUUUCUUUGGGUAGGUUUGCGCGGCGCGGAGGCGGCGAGCGGACAUCCAGUCGGACACGUACGUGCUGAUUGAGCCCGGCAUGGAGGAGGAGUUCGUGUCCCGGGAGGAGCUGGAGGCGAGGCUCAAGGGCUGGCUGGAGAAGUGGCCCAGGGACGCGCUGCCACCCGACCUCGCCAAGUUCAACACGGUCGACGACGCCGUCUCCUACCUCGUCAGGGCCGUGUGCGUGCUCGAGAUCGACGGUGAGGUCGGGUCCGUGCAGUGGUACCAGGUCGAGCUAGAAUAGUCGGGGGUGUCAUGGCUGUGCAGCUCCUUCUUAACGUCCUCCUAAGAGUGUAACAUUCCCGGGGAAAAUUCCCAAACCUGGAUUGGAAGACACAACUACUCUCAACUUGUACCGUGCAAAUUGCAAAGGGUCAAUUGAUGAUGCAGGCCUUUCCCACUCGAGCAAACUGAGCGAGUUUGGUUGUUUCGGAUUAUUAUUCAUGUCAGAUGGAGUAUUUACGAUAGUCCCUCGAUUAAUAUUUUUCUAUGGCUUAGAAUCCCAAUACCACUUUCAUUAUUAUUUGAAUAUUAUCCUAAUCUGUACAGAGGGAGUUGCAACUACUCCGCAACUAUUCCUUUAUUUGAGGAGGGGAGUGAAUUAUUAGGUUGUUUCAAUAAUUUAUUAAUAAUUUAUUGAAAAGCCUGCCGGAUCACCAUUUUCUUAGGGCUCUCCAAUGUGUGGUUCUUAGCUGGUACUAUGUUUUUCUCUCUCUUAUGGAACCAGGACCUAUACACUGUGAAGCUGAUUCUAUAUGGAACCAGAUUCCAUACAUAGAACCAAGUCCCAUGCAAUAUAAUAUAGGGAAAAUGGGAGAGAGAAGAGAGAUGGAGGGCUGCGGGUUCCAUAUUCAUAGAUUCAACCUGGUUCUAUACAUUGGAGCUAAUACAACAUGUGAUAUCAAAUCAGUUAGAUCCCACCUUAGAAACAGGGUGCACCUAUACAUUGCUGGUGCCCUUGCUAACUCUCGUAACAUGUUAGUUGACUCUCGUAACAUGCUAGUCGGAUCGGGGAACGGAGAUCUACCACUCCAACGGGCGCUCCUAUCCCAAUCCUAUACCCACCGGACCUGGUUCCAUACGCUGUGAGGUCGGUUCUAUCGAAACGAAACACAGAACCGGGCUCCCAUGCAUGGGAGCGGGUUCUACAGAAUAAAAAAUUUGAUCUCCUCCCUCAACCCACCUUUCUCUCUCCUGCCGUCGCUGCUCCCGCCCGCCGCCUGGAUGAAGCCGAGGUCGAGCAGAUCCGUCUGGACGAAGCUGAGGCCAUGGCACCGCUCCGAGCUCGCCCGCGCUGCUGUUCCGGCCGCCUCCUCGCGGUGCUACCUUCGACCCCGCCGUCUGCGGUGCUUCCUGGAUGCCUCGUCCACGGCCACACCUGCAACCCCAGCAUGCGUUGCUGCAGCAUGAAGGUUGGGGGCGUCGCUGACUGAGGAUGGACGGAGGAGCGUCGUCACCUGGCCUCGUUCGGCCUCCGCAGCAAUGGCGUCUGGAACGAAGGGGCCGCUUCACUGGAGGCUAUCUUCUCCGAAUCCGGCACCAUAGCCUUCAGAUCCAGCCGCUAGGUGUUUGAUUUGUGCCUUUUUGGGGAGUAGGUUGGGAGGAUUUGAGGCAGAUCAGAACUGGGAAGGGAAGAGGAUGGAGACAACAAGAAGAGGAAGCGGCGUGCUGCCGGUUGCCUCCAUGGGGAAGAAAGGGGUAGUUGAGAAGAAAUUGAUUUUCUUAUUUAUAUGUGGGUCCCACUCAAACCAUGUAACCGGCUCUUUCCUGU